GGAGGCUUUCGCACAGAUCACUUCACCCCCCGAUGCCCCCGCCAUAAAGGAGGAAACUGGGGAAAGUGUGUGUUUUUGUGUAUUUACGAUGAAAGUGGUGGGGGCUUUAUGGCCAAAGGAGGCAAGCUAAAUAAAAACAACACACGUUCUGUACAUGCAUCUGUACAUCCAUGUAUGCACGCCCAAUACAAAACACUCGGUUAUACUUCACAUUUGGUUUUUGUUGUUGUUUUUUGAUUUUUUAUCUUGCUGAGCAUGCAUUCACAUUCACAAGUCACUUGUUCACACUUAGCCAAACACUUUUUAACUUGAAGUUUACUUUUUUUUUGGUUGUAUAAGCCACAUACACCAUUCUCUCACAUGCAUUCAGGACUCGAUCUUCUACUUCAAAAUGUCUUUUUUUUUUUUUUAGAGAGUUUACAGAUAAUUUCUACAAAUAUAUAGAAAUCCAAGCAGGAUGCUGAUCUUGUCGUCUGUUACAAUAUAUGUCAGUAAAUUUGGAUACCAUCACUGAGUCUUUGGUGAUUUUGGUGAUGCGUUUUACAUUUAGUUAAUAGGAUGGACACAAUACAGGAUGCCUCGACACAGGGGUAAAGCCUCUUUACCAAUACGCAUGCCGCUGCUCCUGGUGGCAGAGCUCUCUGAUUACUGUUUAUCUUUGAAAAAGAGGAAUAAAUAAGAUGAGAGGCAUUAAACUAUAGAGCAGAGAGAGAAGGAGAGAGAGCAGUGCUCCAUCCAUCUUGUGUGAGUAUGGAGCCUCAUUCCUGGCACUCUAUCCAUCAAUGAGCGCAACAUUAACUCUCUGGAUCAGAACCAACAUCCCCAGAUCUCUCUCCAUCUCUUUUCCCCUCCCCUCACUCUACUAAACACACACACCAACACACUGAUGCAGCAUUAGUAUUCCAGUUCCAUCUAUGAAAAACCUCAUCAUCCACCUCUCUACCUUCCUCUCACCAAGACCCCGUUGUUUUCUAUGUUCAUCCCAAAAUCUCCCACUCUACUGGAAAUCAAGGAGAUAUUUUUACACUUCUCAUGCCUGUUUGGUUUCGCUCAUCUCUCUAUCCAUCUUUACGCACCACACUAACCUAAACAGCAAAGCUCCUCUGCACCUCUGAUGUUUAGUUUGUCUCGAUUCACCUCUUCUUUUCUCUUCUCCAGAUCUCCUCUUUGCUGAGCUGCCUGAUCUGCUCCUCUCUUUGUCUCUCUCCCAGUUGGUGUUAAUAAUUUAACUACUGAGCUGCUGCAGAGCUGGCUCGUGUCCAGGCCUCAGAUUGGCACUGUCUGUCUAUUUAUGACACUGUGUGGCGGUGCACAUGUGUGGGAUGUGCAAGAGUGAGAGGAGGAUUGUGUGUGAGUGUGCGGGUGAAUGCAUGCAUGUGUUUCCCUAUUAGACUUUAGCCAAAGCAAAUUAGCCUUCAAAGCCACAAGACUGACACCUAAU
Molecule: long non-coding RNA, 1441 nt
Organism: Astatotilapia calliptera (eastern happy)
Lineage: Eukaryota; Metazoa; Chordata; Actinopteri; Cichliformes; Cichlidae
Source: Ensembl